RNAcentral lists this ribosomal RNA (1383 nucleotides) under Triticum aestivum (bread wheat). Its description in RNAcentral is "partial small subunit ribosomal RNA". Lineage: Eukaryota; Viridiplantae; Streptophyta; Magnoliopsida; Poales; Poaceae. The record is from RNAcentral.
AUGGAUCCCGGGAAGGAGCAGACGGGCACGCCCGAGCCCGGCGCGGCGGCGUGGCGCACCCGCGCGGUGUGCGGCACGGAGUACAGCUGGUGCCGCGCCGUGCCGGGCGGCACCGGCACCACGCUCCUCGCGCUCCGCCUCUCGCGCCGCGGCGCCGCCGCGGCCGAGGCGGCCGUCCGCUCACUCCAGAGCGCGCACCCCGUCCUCCGCGCCCACAUCCGCGCGGCCUCCACCUCCAGCCCCACCCUCGCCCUCCCCUCCCCCGCUCCGCAGCUCGCCCUCGCGCCCCAGCCGUCCGCGCUCGACUUCGACUCACUCCUGGAGCGCGAGCUCAACAGCAACCCAUGGGCGGCCGAGAACGGGCCCGACGGGGCCCCGGUGCUCUUCGCCGCGCUCUACGAGCUUCCCCCGCCCGCGGGCGGCGCGGCUCUGUUCGUCCGGAUCCACACGGCCGCGUGCGACCGCGCGGCGUCUGCGGCGCUGCUGAGGGAGCUGCUGGCGCAUCUGGGCGGCGCGGGCGACCCGGAGGAGGAGGAGGAAGCGGCGGUGGAGGCGGGGCUGGAGGACAGGAUACCGCAGAAGGACGCGUGGAAGCCGUUCUGGGCGCGUGGGGUGGACAUGGUGGGCUACUCCAUCAACGGCCUGCGCACGUCCACGCUGCCGUUCGUGGAGACCGGCACGGCGAGGUCGACGCAGAUGGUGCGCCUCGCGUUCGGCCGCGAGGAGACGACGCGCCUGCUCGAUGCGUGCAAGGAGAACGGGGUGAAGCUUUGCUCGGCCAUGGCUGCCGCGACGCUGCUAGCUGCACGGCAAUCUAAGAAGCUGGACAGUGGCCAGCAGGAGACGUACUCUGUGGCGACCCUGAUCAACUGCCGCCAGUUUCUUGAGCCAGCUUUGGACGAUCACAACGUUGGGUUCUUCUACUCUGCCAUCACCAACACCCACAAGAUACACGGAGAGGAGGGGCUGUGGGAGCUGGCCAAGAGGUGCCACGAUUCCUACAUCAGUGCCAAGAACAGCAAGAAGCACCUCACCGACACCGCCGACCUCAACUUCCUCAUGUGCCGGGCCAUCGAGAACCCGCAGCUGACGACGGCCUCCGCGCUCCGCACUGCGCUCGUCUCCGUGUUCGAGGAGCCGGCAACCUACGACGGCCUGUCCGACCUGCAGAGCAAGGCCGGCGUGGAGGAGUACGUCGGCUGCGCCACCGUGCACGGCAUCGGCCCGUCGAUCGGCGUGUUCGACUCUGUCAGGGACGGGCAGCUGGACUGCGCGUGCAUGUACCCUUCUCCUCUGCAUUCCAGGAAGCAGAUACAGGAGAUAUUCGACAAGGUGAAGCGGAUUUUGGGCGAAGGGUGCAACGCGGGUGAUGAGAAACCAUGA